UAGGGAAUCUUCCACAAUGGACGCAAGUCUGAUGGAGCAACGCCGCGUGAGUGAAGAAGGUUUUCGGAUCGUAAAGCUCUGUUGUUGGUGAAGAAGGAUAGAGGUAGUAACUGGCCUUUAUUUGACGGUAAUCAACCAGAAAGUCACGGCUAACUACGUGCCAGCAGCCGCGGUAAUACGUAGGUGGCAAGCGUUUUCCGGAUUUAUUGGGCGUAAAGCGAGCGCAGGCGGAAGAAUAAGUCUGAUGUGAAAGCCCUCGGCUUAACCGAGGAACUGCAUCGGAAACUGUGUUUCUUGAGUGCAGAAGAGGAGAGUGGAACUCCAUGUGUAGCGGUGGAAUGCGUAGAUAUAUGGAAGAACACCAGUGGCGAAGGCGACUCUCUGGUCUGCAACUGACGCUGAGGCUCGAAAGCAUGGGUAGCGAACAGG
This 429-nucleotide ribosomal RNA is filed under the name bacterium. RNAcentral describes it as "partial 16S ribosomal RNA". It matches the Rfam family "Bacterial small subunit ribosomal RNA", at positions 355 to 776 of the family's 1533-position model. The record is from RNAcentral.